Molecule: ribosomal RNA, 246 nt
Filed under: uncultured Lactobacillus sp.
Lineage: Bacteria; Bacillati; Bacillota; Bacilli; Lactobacillales; Lactobacillaceae
Description: partial 16S ribosomal RNA
Rfam family: Bacterial small subunit ribosomal RNA
Source: RNAcentral
CGUGGGGAACCUGCCCCAUAGUCUGGGAUACCACUUGGAAACAGGUGCUAAUACCGGAUAAGAAAGCAGAUCGCAUGAUCAGCUUUUAAAAGGCGGCGUAAGCUGUCGCUAUGGGAUGGCCCCGCGGUGCAUUAGCUAGUUGGUAAGGUAAAGGCUUACCAAGGCGAUGAUGCAUAGCCAGUUGAGAGACUGAUCGGCCACAUUGGGACUGAGACACGGCCCAAACUCCUACGGGAGGCAGCAGCC